This is a non-coding RNA of Rattus norvegicus (Norway rat), 3137 nucleotides long. Lineage: Eukaryota; Metazoa; Chordata; Mammalia; Rodentia; Muridae. The record is from RefSeq and is a predicted model, not a curated record.
CUUCCCUGACAGAGCCCGCCCCUCGCAGGCCUGGAGGUUUCUCUGCAAAGGAAACAAACAUUCAAACCUCCGAAUGGCGUGGGUCUUCUCUAGGGAAGAGAAAACCCUGUUACACAGAGGAUGAAUUGAUUUAUGCAGACAGUUUAAAGGGUGUUCGCAGCUCUGAGGAAUGCAAGCGGCAGCAUGAUUUGAAGAGAUAACUACUAACCUGAGCUCAGAGUUUAUCAUUCCGGUUCAUUGAACAAAAGAGUCAUGGGACCAAAGAGAUGGCUCAGCAGGCCUUUCUCUUCAAGCUGGAAAGUGGCACGGCAGAUUCUCACUGCCUCCUGAUUACGCAGUGACUCCGUCUCCCUAACAAAUGGCCCGUGGAGAAUGAAGCGGAAAGCAGGAAUGUCCUCCUUGAAAGCGAUUAUGUGGAAAUUCGGAUUCCAAGGGUGGAGAGCGAAGCAUGUGGUUUUGUGCUGAGCUGUGUAAUACGUCAGGGCUCAGAAGACCGCGUGAGACAGGUAACAGGCAGCAGCAGGCUAUAUUUAGAGAAGAGAGAGAUGAGUGGAAUUCCGGGUCCUGUUGUCCACCUGUCCUGUCUCCAGGUGUUGACAUCUAAAUUAUGAGCCCAGUCAUAGGCUCCCUCCAUGUGCUUCCUUGCCCUUCUUCUGGCCCUGUAGACACACUGGGCUGCCUUUGAUCAUCAGUGCCAUGACUCACCCCCUUUCCACCCAUCCUGAGCACCAGAAAUCAAUAAGAGGAUCAUUUAAAAAUCCAUCCAGGGCCUGAGAAGGGCCCCUUACAAGACGUUGAAUCCUAAAUAAAGGAACAUCAGGGCUGGGAGGUGGAUGUGUUGUUGUUCUCUUUUGACUCAAAGAGAUCUAUUUGUAGCUGUGUACUUUCUCUUGCUAGUGUGGAAUUCUGCCUGGGCUGUUAAUCUAGAUUCUCCUUCAGAUAGCACACAAGAUGGACGGCAUUGGCUUAUUCAUGCUGCAGUGUGAGAGAACUUGAAAAGAGGAUAAAAGUAUGAUUAAUCACCUUUUUUUUUCUCCCUCAGCAUAUCAAUGUUAAAGAUUUGAACUCAAAAUUACAAGUCAGUUUAUGGUGAUUCACAGCAAUUAUUACUACUUACCUGUGUGACUAUAGAAAGUAGGAGUUUGUUUGUUUGCUUUCAAGACACUGUUUUACCAUGCUUAAAACAUUCUGUUUAGACCAGAAAGACCUCGAACUCACGGUGAUCCACUUAGCCCCACCUCCUCAGUGCUGGCAUUAAAGGCAUGUGCCACCAGGCCUGGUCUUAGAACUGUUCUUAUAAAUGGGGUAAAAUGUGCUGUUGAUGUUCCGGUGCCCCAGUGUCCAGUGUCUGAUCUGAGUGUGUUUGGAAGAUUUCAGGCAGGAUUUGGAGACACAAGUCCUUGUGUUUCUAUUGCUGAGGGAAGUUUUCCUUAAAAUGGCAGUUUCUGGUGUCCUCAUUGAGAUGAGAGUUUAGUCUCCCCAUCUUGACAGGAUUGUAGAAGAGCGUGCAUUUUACAAAAGGUAAACGGACUCUCAAUAAAAACACCGAGGGGCUAUGACAUUUCAGAAUCACCCUCUGGGGGAGGUAGCAGACACGAGGAAGGCUCUGGAGUCAGUAAAAGCUUCUUUCAGAUUGCUGGUCCAAGGUGUCAUAUCUGAUUAUUUUAGUGUCCAGGUGAUAAUCAAUAGUUUUAUUGAUUCUUUGAGAGUUUCACAAAGUGUAUUUUAGUGAUACUUAACCCCAGCUCCUCCAAGAUCCACCUUCAUGACCCUUAGCUCCGGACUCACUCAACUUUGUCUUCUUUUUCCCCCCUCCUCUCCCUCCUCCCCCUCCCUCUCCUCCUCCUCCUCCCCUUCUCCCUCCCCCUCUCGGUCAUGAAACCCAUGGAGUCCUGUUUGUGUUGCUGAUCACUCUUGGGACUGGCACCAGCUCUGGAAUUUUUGGUCAGCCUACCAGGGCUCAGAGACAGGUGAUAAUUUUUGCUAUUACUUCGAGAAAAGGCCAAAGAACAGGACCACAUUUCUGCUGCCAUAAACGUAACAAUAAAAUCUAGGAGCAAAACCUUUCUCUGACUGGGUCUCCAGUCCCCAGCCCCCGGGCCAAGUUGUAUUCUGUUUUCUCUCCAUGCUGCAAGGGUUGGGUCCAACAGGGAGACUUAUCCUCACUGUCGACUUGAUUGGCUUUAGAAUCACUUGGGAGAUUGAUGAUAGCAAGAUGCUAGGUGUGUCUGUGAGGCCAUUUGCAGGGAGAGUUAACCGAGCAGGAGUAGGGGCAUGACCUGCCCCAGAUGUGGAGAGCACCAUUGUGGUGGCCUAGAUAGAGUGAAAGGAGGAGAGAAAGCCACAAAGUGCAUUCUCCCAAUUCCAUGUCCACAUUCCUGGCUGUGUGAGAACUGAUCUGUCUUAGGGGGCUUUUCUGGUUGUUUUGGAUAGACCCUCAGAAACAGUGAGCAAAGGAAACCUUCUUUCCUUAGGCUGUGUGCUCUCUGUGGUUUCGGUCACACUGUUAGAAAAGGAAACACCAACAUCCAUGAUCUGAAAAAUCACAGGGAGAAAAGAUGCUCAAACUGUAACAUUCGAGUUGUGCUCCUCUCUUCUUUGAGGUCUACCCUUUGUCCUGAAUGAGAUGGAACGGGAGAUAUGGCGGUUUGAAUAUGUACGGCCCCGUAGCAUCAUGUGCUCGAAUACUUGGUCCAUAAGGAGUGGCACUAUUAGGAGUAUGGCUUUGCUGGAGGAAGCCUGUCACUGUGGGAGCAGGCUUUGCGGGCUCAGAAGCUCAAACUAGCUCCAACGCCUGCUGGUCAGGAUGUUGAGCUCUCAGCCCCUUCUCCAGCACCAUGUCUGCCUAUAUGUCGACAUGCUCUCUUCUGUGACGAUAAUGAACUAACCUCCUGAAUUGUAAGCCAGACCUAAUUAAAUGUUUUCCUUUAUAAGAGUUGCCUUGGUCCUGGUGUCUCUUCACAACAAUAACCCCCUAAGACAGGAGACAAUAGAAAAGCCAGUGAGUGGUUUCCAUACAGUUCUCCAUCUUCUGGUUCUUCUCUACCUUGUCUUCAGAGUUUGGUAAGCAUUGGGGACCAAGGGGCCCCCUCCACUUGGGCUGGAAGUUCCCAAGGGGGUGGGAAUGGUGCUUUCAC